AGUGAACGCUGGCGGUAGGCCUAACACAUGCAAGUCGAACGGCAGCACAGUAAGAGCUUGCUCUUACGGGUGGCGAGUGGCGGACGGGUGAGGAAUACAUCGGAAUCUACUUUUUCGUGGGGGAUAACGUAGGGAAACUUACGCUAAUACCGCAUACGACCUACGGGUGAAAGCAGGGGAUCUUCGGACCUUGCGCGAUUGAAUGAGCUGAUGUCGGAUUAGCUAGUUGGCGGGGUAAAGGCCCACCAAGGCGACGAUCCGUAGCUGGUCUGAGAGGAUGAUCAGCCACACUGGAACUGAGACACGGUCCAGACACCUACGGGAGGCAGCAGUGGGGAAUAUUGGACAAUGGGCGCAAGCCUGAUCCAGCCAUACCGCGUGGGUGAAGAAGGCCUUCGGGUUGUAAAGCCCUUUUGUUGGGAAAGAAAAGCAGCAGGUUAAUACCCCGCUGUUCUGACGGUACCCAAAGAAUAAGCACCGGCUAACUUCGUG
This 492-nucleotide ribosomal RNA is filed under the name uncultured bacterium. RNAcentral describes it as "partial 16S ribosomal RNA". It matches the Rfam family "Bacterial small subunit ribosomal RNA", at positions 29 to 507 of the family's 1533-position model. The record is from RNAcentral.